Rhododendron vialii is the source of this 440-nucleotide long non-coding RNA. RefSeq lists it as uncharacterized. Lineage: Eukaryota; Viridiplantae; Streptophyta; Magnoliopsida; Ericales; Ericaceae. The record is from RefSeq and is a predicted model, not a curated record. The transcript has 3 exons.
CCAUCAGGGGAGUUGUUUCAACGUUAAGAGAGAGAGAGAGAGAGAGAGAGAGAGAGAGAAACGGUGGAAAGAAGAAGAUGAAGAGCAACGGGGGAAGAUAGGAACCUCAAUUUCAAUAGGUGACAAGUCGGUGAAUCAAGGAGCACCGAAAUCAUAAUUGUACUUUCUUUUGGAGUACAAGGUGUUGUAGAUAUCCACUGCUGAUCAUCUUGUGGUUGUACCCUCGCUUAGGGUAGCGUGUCAAGAAGACUUGGAGAGUUUUGGCAAGACACUGUAGAUAGGAAUUUAGUUACAGCUCAUGUUGAUACUAGUUUGUUGUAUAGUUUAAUAUUUUCUUAAGACUUCCGUUGUGUUUGUAAGAACGAUAUAUUUUCCGUUAUCAAUAAAAUGGCUAUUGGUUAACUUAAUUGCUAGAACUUGAGUUAUAGAAAUGGGUUGGU